AAGGGCGUCCGGUGGAUGCCUUGGCGCCAGGAGGCGAUGAAGGACGUGGCACGCUGCGAAAAGCCGCGGGGAGAUGCGAGCGAUCGUUGAUCCGCGGAUGUCCGAAUGGGGAAACCCCUCCGCAAGGAGAUCGGCGGCUGAAUACAUAGGCUGUCGAGGCGAACCCGGGGAACUGAAACAUCUCAGUACCUGGAGGAAAAGACAUCAACCGAGAUUCCCGGAGUAGUGGCGAGCGAAACGGGAGGAGGCCAGUGGCCUUGGUCAGUGAAGCCGAAGGGUCUGGAAAGGCCUGCCGCAGAGGGUGAUAGCCCCGUAGGCGUGUGGCUGGCUGAGGUCCUUGAGUAGGGCGGGGCACGUGAAACCCUGUCUGAACAUGGGGGGACCACCCUCCAAGCCUAAAUACUCCCUGGCGACCGAUAGUGCACAAGUACCGUGAGGGAAAGGUGAAAAGCACCCCGACGAGGGGAGUGAAAGAGACCUGAAACCGGACGCCUACAAGCAGUCGGAGCCUCUUUAUGGGGUGACGGCGUACCUUUUGUAUAAUGGGUCCGCGAGUUCGUGUUGGCGGCGAGCCUGAGCCGAUAGGCGGAGGCGCAGCGAAAGCGAGUCUGAACAGGGCGUUCAGUCGCCGGCAUGAGACCCGAAACCUGGUGAUCUAGCCAUGGCCAGGCUGAAGGUGGGGUAACACCCACUGGAGGGCCGAACCCACGCCUGUUGAAAAAGUCGGGGAUGAGCUGUGGCUAGGGGUGAAAGGCCAAUCAAACCAGGAAAUAGCUGGUUCUCCGCGAAAUCUAUUGAGGUAGAUCGUUGUCCGGUCGCCCCCGGAGGUAGAGCACCGGAAGGGCUAGGGGGGCCCAAAGCCUUACCAAACCCUACCGAACUCCGAAUGCCGGGGAGCGCAGGGCGGCAGACAGACAGUGGGUGCUAAGGUCCAUUGUCGAGAGGGAAACAGCCCAGACCGCCGGCUAAGGCCCCCAAGUCGUGGCUAAGUGGGAAAGCAUGUGGGACGGCCAAAACAACCAGGAGGUUGGCUUAGAAGCAGCCAUCCUUUAAAGAAAGCGUAAUAGCUCACUGGUCUAUUAGCUGUCCUGCGGCGAAAAUGUAACGGGUCUCAAGCCACGCGCCGAAGCCGCGGGCCUGCAGCGAUGCGGGCGGUAGCGGAGCGUUCCCUAGGCUGUUGAAGCGGCAUCGCGAGGUGCCGUGGAGGCAUGGGAAGCGCGAAUGCGGACAUGAGUAGCGACAAACGGGGCGAGAAACCCCGUCGCCGAAAGCCCAAGGGUUCCCGCGCAAGGUUAAUCCGCGCGGGGUGAGCCGGCCCCUAAGGCGAGGGCGACAGCCGUAGCCGAUGGGAAGGGGGCGAACAUUCCCCCGCCCGCCAGACGUGACGCCUUUGAAGCCGUGUCGGACCUUACUGGAUUGGUUUGGCUGGUGGAUGGGGCCGGGAAAUAGCGCUGGCGUUGGACCGUACCCGAAACCGACACAGGUGGGCUGGUAGAGCAUACCAAGGCGCUUGAGAGAACCAUGCUGAAGGAACUAGGCAAAUUGCUCGCGUAACUUCGGGAUAAGCGAGACCCCUUCGCGGGCAACCGCGGGGGGGUGGCACAGAGCAGGCAGUGGCGACUGUUUAGUAAAAACACAGGGCUCUGCGAAGUCGAGAGACGACGUAUAGGGUCUGACGCCUGCCCGGUGCCGGAAGGUCAAGGGGAGAUGUGAGAGCGUCGAACCGAAGCCCCGGUAAACGGCGGCCGUAACUAUAACGGUCCUAAGGUAGCGAAAUUCCUUGUCGGGUAAGUUCCGACCUGCACGAAUGGCGUAACGACCUCUGCACUGUCUCCGGCACGGGCUCAGCGAAAUUGAAUUCCCCGUGAAGAUGCGGGGUACCCGCGGUCAGACGGAAAGACCCUAUGAACCUUUACUGCAACUUCGCGGUGGCGCCAGGAAGGGGCUGUGUAGGAUAGGCGGGAGGCUUGGAAGCCGGGGCGCCAGCUCUGGUGGAGCCAACCUUGAAAUACCGCCCUGCGCCUUUCUGGCGUCUAACCGACCCCCGUGAUCCGGGGGCGGGACCCCGCGUGGUGGGCAGUUUGACUGGGGCGGUCGCCUCCCAAAAGGUAACGGAGGCGCGCGAUGGUGGGCUCAAGCCGGUCGGACAUCGGCUGUUGAGUGCAAUGGCACAAGCCCGCCUGACUGCGAGCGCGACAGCGCGAGCAGAGACGAAAGUCGGCCAUAGUGAUCCGGUGGUCCCGCGUGGAAGGGCCAUCGCUCAACGGAUAAAAGGUACUCUAGGGAUAACAGGCUGAUCUCCCCCAAGAGUCCACAUCGACGGGGAGGUUUGGCACCUCGAUGUCGGCUCAUCGCAUCCCGGGGCUGGAGCAGGUCCCAAGGGUUCGGCUGUUCGCCGAUUAAAGCGGUACGUGAGCUGGGUUUAGAACGUCGUGAGACAGUUCGGUCCCUAUCUGCCGUGGGUGUAGGAGGCUUGAGAGGAUCUGUCCCCAGUACGAGAGGACCGGGAUGGACGCACCUCUGGUGAACCGGUUGUCGCGCCAGCGGCACGGCCGGGUGGCCAAGUGCGGACGGGAUAACCGCUGAAGGCAUCUAAGCGGGAAACCCCCCUCAAAACAACGCCUCCCCGAGGGCCGUGGAAGACCACCACGUCGAUAGGCCGCAGGUGAAAGUGGGGCAACCCAUGCAGCCGAGCGGUCCUAAUCGCCCGAUAGAACUCCAUCC
RNAcentral lists this ribosomal RNA (2724 nucleotides) under groundwater metagenome. RNAcentral's name for it is "bacterial LSU rRNA". It matches the Rfam family "Bacterial large subunit ribosomal RNA". The record is from RNAcentral.